Molecule: ribosomal RNA, 253 nt
Filed under: uncultured bacterium
Lineage: Bacteria
Description: partial 16S ribosomal RNA
Rfam family: Bacterial small subunit ribosomal RNA
Source: RNAcentral
UACGGGGGGGGCAAGCGUUGUUCGGAAUUACUGGGCGUAAAGGGCUCGUAGGUGGCCAACUAAGUCAGACGUGAAAUCCCUCGGCUUAACCGGGGAACUGCGUCUGAUACUGGAUGGCUUGAGUGUGGGAGAGGGAUGCGGAAUUCCAGGUGUAGCGGUGAAAUGCGUAGAUAUCUGGAGGAACACCGGUGGCGAAGGCGGCAUCCUGGACCACGACUGACGCUGAGACGCGAAAGCGUGGGGAGCAAACAGG